Molecule: ribosomal RNA, 893 nt
Filed under: Chloroflexi bacterium enrichment culture clone B312124
Lineage: Bacteria; Bacillati; Chloroflexota
Description: bacterial SSU rRNA
Rfam family: Bacterial small subunit ribosomal RNA
Source: RNAcentral
AGAGUUUGAUCAUGGCUCAGGAUGAACGCUGGCGGCGUGCGUAAUACAUGCAAGUCGAACGGGGUAUUUGAGUAAUCGAAUACUUAGUGGCGAACGGGUGAGUAACGCGUUGGUGACCUGCCCCAAAGCGGGGGAUAACAGCCUGAAAGGGUUGCUAAUACCGCAUAUGGUCUAGAGGGCUUAGAAGCUUUAGAUUAAAGGAGAAAUCCACUUUGGGAGGGGCCUGCGUCCCAUCAGCUAGUUGGUAGGGUAAAAGCCUACCAAGGCGAUGACGGGUAGGGGACCUGAGAGGGUGACCCCCCACAAUGGAACUGAAACACGGUCCAUACACCUACGGGUGGCGGCAGUAGGGAAUAUUGCACCAUGGGCGAAAGCCUGAUGCAGCAACGCCGCGUGAGUGAUGAAGGCCCUCGGGUCGUAAAACUCUUUUCAAGAGGAAGAGGAAGGACGGUACUCUUGGAAUAAGCCUCGGCUAACUACGUGCCAGCAGCCGCGGUAACACGUAGGAGGCGAGCGUUAUUCGGAUUUACUGGGCGUAAAGCGCGUGUAGGCGGCUCUAUAAGUUGGAUGUGAAAGCUCCCGGCUUAACUGGGAGAGGACGUUCAAAACUAUAGAGCUUGAGUACGAGAGAGGAAAAUGGAAUUCCGGGUGUAGUGGUGAAAUGCGUAGAUAUCCGGAGGAACACCAGUGGCGAAGGCGAUUUUCUGGCUCGAGACUGACGCUCAGACGCGAAAGCUAGGGUAGCAAACGGGAUUAGAGACCCCGGUAGUCCUAGCUGUAAACGAUGUAGACUAGGCGUUGGUGGAGUAAAAUCCAUCAGUGCCGCAGCAAACGCGAUAAGUCUACCGCCUGGGGACUACGGCCGCAAGGUUAAAACUCAAAUGAAUUGACGG